GCUUGCUGGGUGGAUGAGUGGCGAACGGGUGAGUAACACGUGAGUAACCUGCCCCCUUCUUUGGGAUAACGCCCGGAAACGGGUGCUAAUACUGGAUAUUCACUGGUCUUCGCAUGGGGGUUGGUGGAAAGGUUUUUUCUGGUGGGGGAUGGGCUCGCGGCCUAUCAGCUUGUUGGUGGGGUGAUGGCCUACCAAGGCUUUGACGGGUAGCCGGCCUGAGAGGGUGACCGGUCACAUUGGGACUGAGAUACGGCCCAGACUCCUACGGGAGGCAGCAGUGGGGAAUAUUGCACAAUGGGCGAAAGCCUGAUGCAGCGACGCCGCGUGAGGGAUGACGGCCUUCGGGUUGUAAACCUCUUUCGCUCAUGGUCAAGCCGCAACUGUGGUUGUGGUGAGGGUAGUGGGUAAAGAAGCGCCAGCUAACUACGUGCCAGCAGCCGCGGUAAUACGUAGGGCGCGAGCGUUGUCCGGAAUUAUUGGGCGUAAAGGGCUUGUAGGCGGUUGGUCGCGUCUGCCGUGAAAUCCUCUGGCUUAACUGGGGGCGUGCGGUGGGUACGGGCUGACUUGAGUGCGGUAGGGGAGACUGGAACUCCUGGUGUAGCGGUGGAAUGCGCAGAUAUCAGGAAGAACACCGGUGGCGAAGGCGGGUCUCUGGGCCGUUACUGACGCUGAGGAGCGAAAGCGUGGGGAGCGAACAGGAUUAGAUACCCUGGUAGUCCACGCUGUAAACGUUGGGCACUAG
This 742-nucleotide ribosomal RNA is filed under the name uncultured Actinomyces sp. RNAcentral describes it as "bacterial SSU rRNA". It matches the Rfam family "Bacterial small subunit ribosomal RNA", at positions 78 to 819 of the family's 1533-position model. The record is from RNAcentral. Lineage: Bacteria; Bacillati; Actinomycetota; Actinomycetes; Actinomycetales; Actinomycetaceae.